Molecule: long non-coding RNA, 4357 nt
Organism: Neopsephotus bourkii (Bourke's parrot)
Lineage: Eukaryota; Metazoa; Chordata; Aves; Psittaciformes; Psittacidae
Exons: 2
Source: RefSeq, a predicted model, not a curated record
AUUCUGAUUGUAGAAGCCUGAUCAUAAUAAUUAUUUCUUCCCUUAGCUUCCUCCUGAUAAUUUUGUGCUCCUUGAUACAGCUCAUACUACGGGAAGUUUGUUGUUACUCCUCAGUUACUGAAGGAUGGAGUUGGUUCCAUUGUGCAGGUGGAAGAGAUCAGGAAGCAUGAAAUAGUCUUGCCUUCAAUAUUCCUUAUAUUCAAAAUGCAGCUGCAAAAUGCUGUUUUUUUCAAUAACAAUAACAUUAGUACUAUUAGUAAAUAUUUCUAUUCCUUUUCUUUCCACUGACCCUUGUUGGGAUUGGGGCUUAGCUAUGCUCACACCAUGCAAGUUUCAAAGAGGAAAGGCCUGUCCUGUUGUCUUUGUAACAGACAUAAGGAAAGGGAUGUGGGUGCAUCUCCUGAGCAAAUAAAUAUACAAGAGAAGGGGUCUUACUUUGUUAUGCAUUAAGUAAGUUUCAUUUUGAUCCUUGCUAGCUCCAUUUGAACUAUAGCUUUGUGAGAUGAUGUAGUUUAUGAUAUGGUUUUACAGGAAUAUAAAUUGUCAGCCUUUAACUGCACUCUCAAGAAUAAAGGUGAGAUGGCGUUGGUUUAUCAUUAUUAUCUAAAUGCCUUUCUGAUGGAAGACAAGGAUUCACUUCACAUGCUGCAAAAGUCUGACUGCCCCAACAUGAAAACCAGUUUAAACAGAAAACCAUGUUUGUUUUCUUGUUUAUACUGCACAUAAGAAUGGAAUACUUCUGUACAGAAAUGUACUUCCUGGUGACAGGAUGGCUGAAUAGGCUUUGAUUUCUCAAAGAGAACUGUUUGUCUCAUCAAGCCAGACAAGGUGGGACUCAUGAAUUACAUUUGAAGAGGCACCACUUUGAAGGCAAGGGAGAGAUCACGUGAGAAAACCAGCAUUUAAGGAAAUCUUAAGCAGAGUUUCAAAUUUAUUAAGAAUAAAGACAUUCUUCAGAAAAGGAAUGAGCUUUGAAAGACUCAGAAUGUGCAGCAGUGUGCUGAGAAUAAGGAAAAGAUGUGGUUCCUUCACGGUGUUCUCUGGAGUGGGGAAGCGGAGCACUGGGAGUGUGUUGGGAUCAAAGGAUGGAUGGUAAUUUAUUUUGUGUCCUUUUCUACAGCUACUUUGAUAUCCAGUAUAAGCUGAAAUGAAUAAUGUUCAUUUCUUGAGGAAAAUAUGGUGCAUUUGAAAACCAGUGUUCAAAUGAGCAAUAAUCCAGUCUGGCUUCCUUUGUGUUAUCCAAAGCAGCAGCGUCUUCAGCUUCAGAGAUAAGGGGACUGUUCUGGUCUUGCUCCAUAAUGCAGAUAUCCUCUGACCCAGGCACAUGAAAGACAGCCCUUCUAUAAAACAUAAUGUGGUACUUCUUCAUAGACACAGGGCUGAAAGGUUUGGAAGUAAGGCCAGCGAGCAGUAACCAGGCAAGAAAAAGAUGAAAAAUGCAAAACCAGGAGGUUUGGGGAAUGUGGGCUCUAUUUUUGACUACAGUUCAAACAACAGACUCAUCUGUUUACAUGUUUUCUCCCUUCUAUAACAGUUUUUCACAGACUCCUUUUAUUUUCUUUCCAGAGCUAUCCCCUUGCUAUCCUGCACAUAAUCAGAUCUUAACUUUUGACCCAAGUACUUGAACACGGAGGAGGAUUCUCUGAUCUGGUUCUCGAUUCCAAAUGGGUGAUCAAGACACAAAUACGAGACGGAAAUUACUGGUUUUGCUUUACAAAGACGUUGCAAGUUAAUUUUGUAAGUGAAAGGUCUUCUCUUGGAGUUACCCCAACCAAACUCAAGCAUUCGACAGAUUUGACAUUUCCAUGCUCAGACGAGAUCUGUCUUUUUAAUAUCCAUCUCCCUUUUGAAGUCACUAAACAUGACUUUUUUCAACAACCAUUUCAUCACCUCUGGUUUUAUGCUACCCCUGAAGGUCAAGACAGUGACAAAUGCUCAGGAGUUAACCCGUGCUGAACUGCACAGUGUGUUGCUGGUUUUAGAAGUCCUCAGGGGUGAACUGCUACCAUCAUCCCACAGAGAUGUUUCUGCCUUCUUCUCCAUAGGAAACUAACAGCACUACUAGCAUUUUCUUCUAGUUAAGAGGUAAACAGGCAUCAAAGGCACAUAAAAUACGCUUCCCUUGAGGUACAGACUGUAACUCCUGAGUUUAUUCUCUGUAAUUGUGUAGACCAUAGAAACUUGUGAAAGUUUCACAUGAUGUGCUGUUGUUCUGCUGGUAUGAUUUUCUGACAUUCUUCAGAGAGACGUGGGCAUUCAUUUUUGCCAAAAAUACCCCCAGGAAACACCCAUACUGUCUGCUAUUUAUAAAACUGGCAUUCCUUUUAUAUUUGGCAGGUGUUCAUACACAACCCUGGACAUCAAACAGCUUUUUUAUUCCAGGAAUUUUUGGUGCUUUCUUUAAGAUAGUCCCUUUCGGCUGUGGAAGCAGCACCAGGAUCCUUCUUCUUCAUAUAGGCAGCUUCUAGAAUAAGGUGGGUCUGUAAGUGAGGGUGAAAACCAAACCAAAUCAAACCAAAAAAUCCUGCAACUAUAACAAAACUUUAAAAGUGUACUACUGUGUGCAUGUGUGCGUGCACAUGCAUGUAUCAUGUGCACAUGUGUAUGUUCUGACAGGACCAUGUCAGACUGCCACAGACUGAUGGGGGAUGUAGGUAACAAUACAGUGUCCUUUUGUAAAGCGUGAACACUAGCCCUAUUCUUUACAUGAGUUCUCAGUACUACGCUGCUUUGAUAGAAUGAUGAAUGCUAACAGAAUUCAAAGAAAAGAGAGAAAAGAAUACAGGUUAUUUUCUGAGUGGUUGUUUUGUUUUGCAUUGUUUUUUCAAGUAAUUCAGAUAACGCAAAAUGAUAAUAAUGCAUAGAUGAAACACAUUGAAGAACACUUCUGUUAAAAUCCAAUUUAAAAAUAAAGGCAGUAUGGCCUGUUGAACAAAGCCUCAUAAAGCCAAGAGAAGCCCUUCUUUCAAAUAGAAUAAACAUAAUCUUUAAUUAUUGUCAAAAGAGUUUUAUAAGCUGUUUUACUGUGUUAUAUCGUGAUUUAAGAGGGUGCACUCCUACAUUUUCCUUCUGUAAAAGUGAGAAGUAUUUUGUUAUUUCUUUUACUCUGGAACUACAUCCAGCUGCUCUCAGACUGGUAAAACCCCUGUAUUUCUCUAGAGUCAACAUGGAAAUUAAAUGAAAGAUCAAAUUUAGAAAUAAUGGGAAAAGAGUAUUUGGGUUGAUAGAAACAACAAAGAAAAUGAACAGCUAAGAUCAGUUUCUCUUCAUUAAGUUAAAGCUUUUAGUUAUCAUUAGGUUAAAACUUUGUAACUUGCCUGGCAUUAUGGUAGCUUUUCAGUCAGGAAGUUCUGUAGACAAAGUUCAAUACAAAUUAUUUUUGUCAGUGUAAUUAGGCAUUCAAAUUAUUUAAAAGGAUGGAAUGUGGCUCAGCCCGAGUUAUGAUUUUUCUCACUUUGUUUUUUGGCAAAUGACAAAGGAAUCUAGUCUAGAAAAAUGAGGGGAAGGCAGAAAAUACAGAAGCACAAAAUGCAGUAAACUUAGUUACACUACUGUGUACAACAGUGUUGUGAAGUAAGAAUGUUUUGCAUCAAACUUUUUUCAAUGAGAUUUAGUCGAACCUUCCUAUUGUCAGACUUUUUACAGCCUGAAGCUGUAUGUCUUCAUGGCAUAACAAAACUGUAGUUAGUGAUAUAACCCAUCCAGAGUGUUACCAUUCAUUAUGUGAUAAUCAAUCUUGCUACUGAUGCAACUUUUCUUGGCAAUGACAAAGCCACAGAUCUAUUCCAGGAGAUGUAAUCUAAAAUCAUAUUUCAUAGUCUUGUUUUGAUUGUCAUUUUAGUAUUUAGAAUGACUGAGUGCAACUGACAGAAGUAAACUGUGAUACAUGGAAUUAAUUUCAGUGGACCAGAUGCAUGCCUCAUCUUGUAAUGACAGUGGACAAUUAAAGUCAACAUGGCUGGAGAAGGCACCUGAGAAAAUGAAACUCCAUUAUCUGUCCUUGCUUCAAGCUUGUGAAAUUGCUUUUAGAGGACUUGAAGAAGUAGAAGAAUUUGGAGAGGAAAAUGGGUCAAAAAUGAUGGACAAGCCAUUGUAAUGUAUAAUCCUUACGGAAAACAGCAGUCUUCUGAUACAAAGCAGUGUAAGAGUUAUUACUAUUUCAAGCACAGAUCUGUCCCAUUUGAACUGGAUAUGAAUAUUAUCAUGCCACUUGUGAAUCAUUCUGUGCUUCAGCAUUUCUUAUUUUAUUCUGGCUUGCUUGUGCUAGUUCUUUAUACUGAUCAUUAUAUAUGUGUCCUUUUUUAUAUUUUAUAAUUUUCUUUCAGAUUUUCAGAUCAUUAAAGAGUUCCUGAUGCAA